AGAGUUUGAUCCUGGCUCAGAGCGAACGCUGGCGGCAGGCCUAACACAUGCAAGUCGAACGAACUCUUCGGAGUUAGUGGCGGACGGGUGAGUAACACGUGGGAACGUGCCUUUAGGUUCGGAAUAACUCAGGGAAACUUGUGCUAAUACCGAAUGUGCCCUUCGGGGGAAAGAUUUAUCGCCUUUAGAGCGGCCCGCGUCUGAUUAGCUAGUUGGUGAGGUAAAGGCUCACCAAGGCGACGAUCAGUAGCUGGUCUGAGAGGAUGAUCAGCCACAUUGGGACUGAGACACGGCCCAAACUCCUACGGGAGGCAGCAGUGGGGAAUCUUGCGCAAUGGGCGAAAGCCUGACGCAGCCAUGCCGCGUGAAUGAUGAAGGUCUUAGGAUUGUAAAAUUCUUUCAGUAA
Molecule: ribosomal RNA, 406 nt
Filed under: uncultured bacterium
Lineage: Bacteria
Description: bacterial SSU rRNA
Rfam family: Bacterial small subunit ribosomal RNA
Source: RNAcentral